CCUACGGGAGGCAGCAGUGGGGAAUUUUCCGCAAUGGGCGAAAGCCUGACGGAGCAAUACCGCGUGAGGGAAGACGGCCUAUGGGUUGUAAACCUCUUUUCUCAGGGAGGAACUCAAUGACGUUACCUGAGGAAUAAGCAUCGGCUAACUCCGUGCCAGCAGCCGCGGUAAGACGGAGGAUGCAAGUGUUAUCCGGAAUCACUGGGCGUAAAGCGUCUGUAGGUGGCUUAACAAGUCAACUGUUAAAUCUUGAAGCUCAACUUCGAAAUCGCAGUCGAAACUGUUAGGCUAGAGUAUAGUAGGGGUAAAGGGAAUUUCCAGUGGAGCGGUGAAAUACGUAGAGAUUGGAAAGAACACCGAUGGCGAAGGCACAUUACUGGGCUAUUACUGACACUCAGAGACGAAAGCUAGGGUAGCAAAUGGGAUUAGAUACCCCAGUAGUCCUAGCCGUAAACAAUGGAUACUAGAUGUUGGGCAGAUCGACCUGUUCAGUAUUAAAGCUAACGCGUUAAGUAUCCCGCCUGGGAAGUAUGCGCGCAAGCGUGAAACUCAAAGGAAUUGACGG
Molecule: ribosomal RNA, 565 nt
Filed under: uncultured bacterium
Lineage: Bacteria
Description: bacterial SSU rRNA
Rfam family: Bacterial small subunit ribosomal RNA
Source: RNAcentral